CAUCUUGCACGAUCAAAAUCACUCAUUUAUUAGAAAUGAGUGUCCGUAGCAGUAGGGAAGUUCUCCUUCAGAAAGCUUCUCGCUUCAGAUGUAGAAAGGAAAAUCCGACGUGGAGCAUUCGGAGGCGAGAUUCUAAGCUUCGCAGGGUAUAAGAGCGCAGGUUUUAGAUUUUUCUCAUAACAUUCAGACAUCAGAGGUUUAAAAAGAAGCCUUGCCUUCAUUACUUCUGGACUAAAAUCUUCUACUAAUCGAAAAUUGUGAUCUUGAAAUUUGACCAUCCCUGCACGCCGAGCCACACGAAUAAGUUGCUCUUUAACAUGCACAUAAUGAAAUCGGACAGUUACAACCGGUGGUUUAGCUGAAGCACUUGGUGAUCGACGCAUAAUUCUGUGAGCAUGAUUGAGUAACGGAGGACUGUCUGGGAAUACAGAAGGGAACGCAUCCUUUAAAAGUUGAGCAAAGUACUUCGAGGGGUCCCCUUGUUCAAUACCUUCCGGGAGACCAAGUAUGUGUAGGUUCUGUCUUCUGGACCAAUUCUCAAAGUUGACACUCUUGGCUUUAAGUGUUUCCACCUGUUUAAUCGUCAAAAUUAGUCCUGACAAAGGGUCUCGGCCCGAAAUGUCAACAGUGCUUCUUCUUAUCGAUGCUGCCUGGCCUGCUGCGUUCCACCAGCAUUUUGUGUGUGUUGCUUGAAUUUCCAGGAUCUGCAGAUUUCCUCGCGUAAGAGGUACUGGCUACAUUUUGCAUAAAGUUGAGGAGCUGGGAAUGAAAACCUGACUGCCUAUUCAGCCUACACAAUAUUGUUUGUCAGCAACACUGGAAGAACUGUUGGUGCCUGUGAUUUGCUAUUUGGAGAUCAUCUGGGUGUGCCAGCACUCUGCAAUCUUGGAGAGGAUUCCGGAAGACACAGGCAGCAUGCGCAGACCUCAUGCGAGCGGGCUGUGGGAUGGCACGCAAGCCAAUGUUUGACUCCAUUUCACUGAUUAAGGCUUCCGUUGUUCACUGAUUCAAGCGAUGAGGGAGGUUGAAACAUUGAGGUGAAUGUGGAAAUUUGGAGAUCGUUUGGGUGCCUCAGCGCUCUGCAGUCUCCGAGCGAAUUCCGGGAGACAGAGGCAGCAUGCACAAAACUCUUUGGUGGGCACAAACUGAUGUUUGACUCAAUUUCACUGAUUAAAUUUUCCAUUGUGCACUGAUUAAGGUGAUGAGGGAGAUUGAAACAUCAAGGAAUGCCAUUGGGAUGCAGAAGGUGAGCGCUGACUGCCUGUUUAUUGAUCACUCUACCACUGAAGAGGGGAGUGUCUGCCCUUGUGCCUGGUGAAUGUUACCCAGGUUUUCAGUGCUUUGGAUGUGGACUUGCACUUUUGACUUCUUUUUCAGUCUUAAACGUUCUGUGUUUUUCACCUGAUCUUUUUUUUUGUGUGUGUGGGGGAUUUUGGGGGUUGAUCAUUGUGCUGCCUUUCUUUUCUUUCCUGGUUUCAUGUCUACCCGGAGAAGAAGUAUUUCAGAGUUGCAUACUUUGAUAAUAAAUGAACUUCUGAACAAUAUUACAAAAGUAGCUAACAAAGAGAUAAUACAAAGUUCAUCAGCUAAAAAUGGAUUACUCCAAUAUAUAUAUGCACUAAUCCUGCACUCUGUAGCUAACUUUUUCUUUUAAGGGAGCUUAAUGCAAAAUUUAAUCACAAUCCCCAGACAACUGGCUGCAUGAGUUCAAGCUGCUCAGUGUUAUCUUCAUUGCAACACAACAAUGAGUAGUGAAUGCACCUGCCGGCUUGUUCAUGUGCAAACUAACAUGUGGGUGUAAGCCCCUAGAGGAGAUGUUGUGUGAAACUAUCCCACUGUAAGUGAUGUACUGGUGUUACCUGCUGAGAUGGUUGGUGCAGAGGUAUUGGUGGAAAGGGGGUAUGCAUCCCAUUUUUCAGAUCCACUGCAGUGUGAGUUACAAUUGAAUACAAAAGGUCAAUGUCGUGCACCUUCCCAGUCAUUAGUCUUCUGUUUGGAUAUGGAGUUAGUUAAGAAAACUCAAGAGAAUCUCUUGAGAUCUUUGCAUAUAUCGUUAGAGGCAGUCUCUUUUUGCCACAGUCUGAAGUACCAACUUCUCAACUCCCAUCCACCUGCUGGAUAGUCUUAAGCAAAAUAUUGGUAUUAGUCUAUUAUUGUCAACUGUUUAGGAUGUUGUGAUGUGUUGUUUUAGAUAUUGAGGCCAAAUUUGGAGUAUUAUGUGUAUUUCUGAUCACCUGCCUACAGGAAAGUUAUCAAUAAGAUUUAAAGAGUGCAGAGAAAAUUUAGGACUUGAAGACUUGAGUUAUAGGGAAAGGUUGAAUAGCCUAAGACUUCUUUCCCUGGAGGUAGGAGAAUGAGGGGAGAUUUGAUAGCGGUAUAGAAAAUUGUGAGGGAUAUAGAUGAUGUAACUGCCAGCAGGCUUUAUCUUCUGAGGUUAGGUGAGACUAGAACUAGAGGUUAUAGGUUUAGGGUGAUUAAGGAGAACCUGAAGGGGGACUUCCACAUUCAGGGUGUUAUGACUGUGGAAAGAGCUGUCAGCAGAAGUGGUGGAUUUGGGUUCAUUUGCAACAUUUAAGAGAGGUUUUGAUAAUUACAUGAAUGGGAAGGGUAUGGAGGGCUAUGAUCCAGGUGUGGGUCAAUGGGACUAGGCAGAGUUACAGUUCAACAUGGACUCAAUGGUCCAAAGGGCCUGUUUCUGAGCUCUUUGAUACUAUGACUCUAACAAGAUAUUGAACCUAUUGAUUUUUGUGUGCCAUCCACUAUCAUGUUAUUCAGAAGUAUGAGGGGUGAUUGAUAAGUCCGUGGCCUA
This is a long non-coding RNA of Hypanus sabinus (Atlantic stingray), 2809 nucleotides long. RefSeq lists it as uncharacterized. The transcript is spliced from 4 exons. NCBI's taxonomy places the organism in Eukaryota, Metazoa, Chordata, Chondrichthyes, Myliobatiformes, Dasyatidae. The record is from RefSeq and is a predicted model, not a curated record.